GCCGUCACUUCCGCUUUCUCCGAAUCUGUCGCGUGUAGAGUGAGAGUGGGGGAAGUACAAUGUAAGGAACACAUUUAAAUCGAGCUGAGCGUCUUCAGAGAGCCCCCCCUUUGGUUGCAAUGCUUUGAAGAUGAUGAUGCAUCUUACGCACGCGCAAACCCCAGGCAGGUUAUUUGCACACCGAAUGAUCCUGCUCUCUGAGUGGCUUGCUGAAGAAGAAAUGUUGAAUUUCUGUUUUCUAGAGGAAUACGUAGCUGUUGGUCAGUAAUGCAGCCAGGGACAAGACAGCAACAAAAUGAUUCAAGACCACGGACAGAGGUGUGUGUCCUUCAUCUGAUGAUUUUUACUGGAGGCACAUGUGAAGCUGGCUUUAGAUUAAAAAUAAACAGGAAUUAAAUUGUGA
This is a long non-coding RNA of Rhineura floridana, 403 nucleotides long. RefSeq lists it as uncharacterized. NCBI's taxonomy places the organism in Eukaryota, Metazoa, Chordata, Lepidosauria, Squamata, Rhineuridae. The transcript is spliced from 2 exons. The record is from RefSeq and is a predicted model, not a curated record.